CCUACGGGUGGCAGCAGUGAGGAAUAUUGGUCAAUGGACGAGAGUCUGAACCAGCCAAGUAGCGUGAAGGAUGACUGCCCUAUGGGUUGUAAACUUCUUUUAUAUGGGAAUAAAACGUUCCACGUGUGGGAUUUUGUAUGUACCAUAUGAAUAAGGAUCGGCUAACUCCGUGCCAGCAGCCGCGGUAAUACGGAGGAUCCGAGCGUUAUCCGUAUUUAUUGGGUUUAAAGGGAGCGUAGGUGGAUUGUUAAGUCAGUUGUGAAAGUUUGCGGCUCAACCGUAAAAUUGCAGUUGAAACUGGCAGUCUUGAGUACAGUAGAGGUGGGCGGAAUUCGUGGUGUAGCGGUGAAAUGCUUAGAGAUCACGAAGAACUCCGAUUGCGAAGGCAGUUCACUGGACUGCAACUGACACUGAGGCUCGAAAGUGUGGGUAUCAAACAGGAUUAGAUACCCCAGUAGUC
This 460-nucleotide ribosomal RNA is filed under the name uncultured bacterium. RNAcentral describes it as "partial 16S ribosomal RNA". It matches the Rfam family "Bacterial small subunit ribosomal RNA", at positions 338 to 795 of the family's 1533-position model. The record is from RNAcentral.